RNAcentral lists this ribosomal RNA (427 nucleotides) under uncultured bacterium. RNAcentral describes it as "bacterial SSU rRNA". It matches the Rfam family "Bacterial small subunit ribosomal RNA", at positions 355 to 774 of the family's 1533-position model. The record is from RNAcentral.
UGGGGAAUAUUGCACAAUGGGCGCAAGCCUGAUGCAGCCAUGCCGCGUGUGUGAAGAAGGCCUUCGGGUUGUAAAGCACUUUCAGCGGGGAGGAAGGCGGUGAGGUUAAUAACCUCACCGAUUGACGUUACCCGCAGAAGAAGCACCGGCUAACUCCGUGCCAGCAGCCGCGGUAAUACGGAGGGUGCAAGCGUUAAUCGGAAUUACUGGGCGUAAAGCGCACGCAGGCGGUCUGUCAAGUCGGAUGUGAAAUCCCCGGGCUCAACCUGGGAACUGCAUUCGAAACUGGCAGGCUAGAGUCUUGUAGAGGGGGGUAGAAUUCCAGGUGUAGCGGUGAAAUGCGUAGAGAUCUGGAGGAAUACCGGUGGCGAAGGCGGCCCCCUGGACAAAGACUGACGCUCAGGUGCGAAAGCGUGGGGAGCAAACA